GGGAAGAUGCCACAAGGAGCGUUCUGGAUUUGAGGGACCCUGGACCACCAACCCUCUUAUUUUUGGUAACUCCUACUUCAAGAAACUCCUAAGCGGAGAGAAGGAAGGUUUAAUCCAGCUGCCAUCAGAUAAAGCUCUUCUGGAGGAUCCAAUCUUCCGUCCUCUUGUAGAAAAAUAUGCUGCCGACGAGGAUGCCUUCUUUGUCGAUUAUGCUGAAGCUCAUUUGAAGCUCUCAGAGCUUGGAUUUGCUGCUGCUGAAUAGAGAAUCGGAGAGGUGAAAUGCCGUUGCUGUCGGGUCUUUGGUCUGGAGGUUGGUGUUAUUCUGAAAGUUUGCGCGCUUUGAUUUAUGGCUAUUAUAUUAUCUUGUGAUUAGUGUCUCUAAUAUAACUGGUAUGCAAAAACAGCUAAGCUUGGUAUUUGAUGUCUUGGUGCAACAAUUAUGAGACGCGACCCCAUCAUAGAGAUGUUGGUAUUUUGGUG
Long non-coding RNA from Alnus glutinosa, 480 nucleotides. RefSeq lists it as uncharacterized. The transcript is spliced from 4 exons. The record is from RefSeq and is a predicted model, not a curated record. NCBI's taxonomy places the organism in Eukaryota, Viridiplantae, Streptophyta, Magnoliopsida, Fagales, Betulaceae.